UUCUGCAAACUCAAGUUGGGGAUUUCUGUCAUAAAGCCUCUCUUACACAAAAAAUCACACACAUUUUUUGUGAGGUGUCUUUACGGAUUCUGUAGACCAUCCCAGCCCCUUGUGGCAUGCUCCAGUCACAGGACUCUGCUGGAGCUCCAACACAGCCAUCCAGAAAGGAUUCCCCAAAAAUUAAUUCCCCAAAGCAAAUUCAUAUUUGGGGAGCGUGGAUGCACGAAGUUUGCUCCCUUAAACCUCACAUCUCACCUGCAAGCUGCUGAAUUAGGGCCAAACGCUGCUGAGCACACUCACACCAGCAAAUCCCCACUGGCUGCAGACACACCAAGGCUUCAGGCAAAAGAAAUGAGGUGUGUCAGUGUCACACAGCCAUAUGCACACAGAGGCAGGGAGAAAGGAAGAGCACAGGGAUGCCACAGGGGGGAGGAUGCCACAUCCUGAGCCCUUGUCAGCUCAGCUCCCUGUCACCUUCACUGCCUGGGAGUGAAGUGCCUGCUCUGCCUCCACCUUCCCCCACUGCCACCCUGCAGCAAGUCUCUGUUUAUGCCAUCUGCCUCACAGAGGGGAGCUGAAGUGCAUAUAAAUUGAUUAGCAGGAGCCCGUGAGGAUCCCCCAGCAUGACAUACUGGCGGGUGCUAGGAGAGGGUUGAAUUAAUUUUGAGUGAUCAGCGGGGAAAAGUCUUUCUCCAAAACAUGUUGCACCGAGAAAACACUUUCUACGCUUCUUUUUUAACUGGUGGGUUUCAUAGCAACUGUUUUCAGCAGGAGAGGUGAGCAGGAGGAUGUAUGAGCUUGUCACUGGUGCAAAUCAAUUACUACCCUAAAUUCUCCAUCGUGCACAUGCAGAGCAGCAAGGGCAGGCUGCUAACCAGGGAAUGCUGUGAGUCUGGUCCUCAUGCCCUCAUCCCAACAAGAGCAGGGCAUAACCCAAGCAGACUCACUGAAGCCAGCUGAAUCAGCAUCUCAAGGAUGUUUAGACAACGUGGGUAUGUGUAAUGAUGCAACCAAUGCUUCUCUGUAAAUCUGUAGGGAAUAAGGACCCAGCUGUGGACCUGCAUCCAUGAGCUGCUGGGGCAAUGGCCAGGGAUCCCAUACCUCUUGGGGCAUCUGACUUUUACCUUUAGGUGUUUUGCAGCAGUUUUCACACUGAGUGCCAGACAGAAAUUUCCCAUUCACUUUUUUUUUUUUUUUUUUCCAUUUGUAAGCUGACUGUUCCCACUGCCUGUAAAUCAUCCUACUUCUGUGCUGCAGUGAAAUCUUCGCAGCAAGUUGCAGCGUUUAAUUAUUCAUUUUCCGAAGAAAAAUAAUCCUCUUUCCCUUUUCAACUCUCCCCUUCCAAUGCAAUCAAAUCUGUCCAUGCUCAUUAGUGUUUACCCUCUUUUGUCUCCUUAUCCUUUUAUUUAUUUAAAAAAGAUGUGUCACGGAUCUUUUCUUUACUGAG
RNAcentral lists this long non-coding RNA (1447 nucleotides) under Anas platyrhynchos platyrhynchos (common mallard). RNAcentral's name for it is "lncRNA (ENSAPLG00000026771.1)". The record is from RNAcentral. Lineage: Eukaryota; Metazoa; Chordata; Aves; Anseriformes; Anatidae.